GCUCACAUCAGCAGGCAUGUAAUAAAAUUGGGACAAUACAAAGAAGAUUAGCAUGGCCCCAGUAUAAGGAUGACAAGCAAAUUUGUAAAGUGUUCCAUAGUUUU
This is a small nuclear RNA of Suncus etruscus (white-toothed pygmy shrew), 104 nucleotides long. Lineage: Eukaryota; Metazoa; Chordata; Mammalia; Eulipotyphla; Soricidae. The record is from RefSeq and is a predicted model, not a curated record.